Molecule: non-coding RNA, 94 nt
Organism: Diatrype stigma
Lineage: Eukaryota; Fungi; Ascomycota; Sordariomycetes; Xylariales; Diatrypaceae
Source: the annotation of a GenBank genome assembly
GCUGGCAUGGUCUAAUGGUUAUGAUUUCUCGUUAACACCUCAUCAGUGUUGACUCGCUCCGAGAAGGUUCCGCGUUCGAUCCGCGGUGCUAGUA